Molecule: ribosomal RNA, 468 nt
Filed under: uncultured bacterium
Lineage: Bacteria
Description: partial 16S ribosomal RNA
Rfam family: Bacterial small subunit ribosomal RNA
Source: RNAcentral
GACGAACGCUGGCGGCGUGCUUAACACAUGCAAGUCGAACGGAAAGGCCCUGCUUUUGUGGGGUGCUCGAGUGGCGAACGGGUGAGUAACACGUGAGUAACCUGCCCUUGACUUUGGGAUAACUUCAGGAAACUGGGGCUAAUACCGGAUAGGAGCUCCUGCUGCAUGGUGGGGGUUGGAAAGUUUCGGCGGUUGGGGCUGGACUCGCGGCUUAUCAGCUUGUUGGUGGGGUAGUGGCUUACCAAGGCUUUGACGGGUAGCCGGCCUGAGAGGGUGACCGGCCACAUUGGAACUGAGGUACGGCCCAGACUCCUACGGGAGGCAGCAGUGGGGAAUAUUGCACAAUGGGCGGAAGCCUGAUGCAGCAACGCCGCGUGCGGGAUGACGGCCUUCGGGUUGUAAACCGCUUUCGCAUGUGACGAAGCGUGAGUGACGGUAAUGGGUAAAGAAGCACCGGCUAACUACGUG